GUCCCAUCUACAUUUACAUGCCAGUAAAAAAUAAUAAAAAAAAGAUUCAGAAAAACAGCAUGAUAUGAGUAGAACAUAGAGGAGUGGAUUGGCUUCUGUCUCAUAUCAAGGCCUGAUACAACAAUUGAUGUAGGUCAGAAUCUUCUUUUGCUUUGGGACAACAGAGUCAUCUGCAGGUGGUUGAUGAUGAUGUUGGUGGUGACGGGGGCGAUGUUGGUGUUGGUGUUCAUGGCGGUGAUGAUGGCAAUGGUGGUGAUGUUUUUGUUGACGAUGAUGCUUAUCCGCGCUUGCCAUUAACUCCCUUUCAUUCCCUAGGCUGGUUCUUUUGAACUCAGUUAAGUCAGUUUUUUGCUGUUUCCUA
This 361-nucleotide unclassified non-coding RNA is filed under the name Hevea brasiliensis (rubber tree). The record is from RNAcentral. Lineage: Eukaryota; Viridiplantae; Streptophyta; Magnoliopsida; Malpighiales; Euphorbiaceae.